UACGUAGGGCGCAAGCGUUGUCCGGAAUUAUUGGGCGUAAAGAGCUCGUAGGUGGCUUGUCACGUCGGGUGUGAAAGCUUGGGGCUUAACUCCAGGUCUGCAUUCGAUACGGGCUGGCUAGAGGUAGGUAGGGGAGAACGGAAUUCCUGGUGUAGCGGUGAAAUGCGCAGAUAUCAGGAGGAACACCGGUGGCGAAGGCGGUUCUCUAGUACGGUACUGACGCUGAGACGCGAAAGCGUGGGGAGCGAACAGG
This 253-nucleotide ribosomal RNA is filed under the name uncultured bacterium. RNAcentral describes it as "partial 16S ribosomal RNA". It matches the Rfam family "Bacterial small subunit ribosomal RNA", at positions 524 to 776 of the family's 1533-position model. The record is from RNAcentral.